This 1540-nucleotide long non-coding RNA is filed under the name Parus major (Great Tit). RNAcentral describes it as "lncRNA (ENSPMJG00000016244.1)". The record is from RNAcentral. Lineage: Eukaryota; Metazoa; Chordata; Aves; Passeriformes; Paridae.
GGACAGAGAAUUGAGGCUGUGCUCAAUGUUUGUUUGAUCUCAGUGAGAGGCCACUCCUGCUGACAGGAGUUGUCUAAACAGGAUAGGAUUGGCAGAAAUUUUCUGGCAGAAAUUUUUCUGAUGGGAUUGUCAGAAAAAGAAACCAAGUUCAGGCAGGAUCAUCAAGCUGUAGAAGACCUGCGCCACCCUCUCGACUUGCUGCUCCUGCCAGUGGUGGAGAGAUGGAGAUUUCUGUCACAGGAAGAGCCCCUCUGUCUUACAGCCUUCUGCCAGCUUCCGUGGCAAAUAGCCAGGCUGGGUUGGAGAGGAAAAAACAGCUGAACUCUGGACAUCCUAUGGUAAACUGUGAUGAGAAAACACCACCCUGAAUUUCAAAUAGCUUAAGGCUGGAAAACAUGCUGUCUUUAAACUCUCCAGGGUACUUCAGGUGGUAAAGUAGCAACUGAUAAUUAAAUACUCACUAGUUUUUACAGAAUUACUUCAGCUAAUUCAGUAUUUUCUUUACUGUAAUGCAGCACUAAGAUUCUGAUGACAUACUUGAUAGUUUUUAUUUCUUACAUCGCUGUGAAAACAUUCCUCUUUCAAGAGUUCUUGCUGCUUUUGGACACUGCCCUAAAGUAGAAACAAAAAGAAAACAAAAAGUCACAAGUGACGCGUUAGAUAUUUCAGCACAAUGUUUAUUGUACUCCGUCAGAACAGGCAGCAGACUAAACCAAGAUACAGCUCAGUAUGAUGCUGUGUUUGGUGGGGGAAGAACAGCACAGCUGUAAAGGAAAACAGCACAAUCACGAAGCAGGCUGGCAGCUUUUAAGGAGGCAUUCUUUGUUCAAGAAAAUUAUUUGUACUAUUAAUGUCACUAAAGGUAUUUGGUGAUAUGGAUUUAAAGAUACAGUGGAGAAAAUCUUGGUUUAAAACUAUAAAAAGAGAGUGCUACACUAAGGGGUUUUUUUAAGAAUUCUAGGGGCAACUAAGACUACUAGCCAUAGCUAAGACUGUGUUUGAGAAAAUAAUAUGUUUAUAUUUUACACACAAUUCCUUUAUGUAUUCCCUUUUGGAAGCAAUAUGGCAGGGGGAGGGGGAAAAAGUACAGUAAGCCCUGAAUUAAUUGUCUUUUCUUGACAUAUUUUCUAGGCAGAUGAAGUGCUUUCCCUAGCAAUUUUUUUUUUUUUUUUUCAUGAGCUGAAAUCAAAUUUCUAGAUUAGAAAGGCUAUUGUUUCAGUAUACUUGAUUUUAUGGUAACACAAAAAAAGUACAGUUUAUAGUAUUACACAGAAGUCAGAAUGAUGAAUUGAACUAUUUGCAGAAGAAAAUAUUUUGACAUUGAAGCCAAACUUCAAGAUAUUAGGCCUUAUUCCAAAUUGGAUGAAAACCCAAGGUAUUGUCAGGUAUAACCAUUUAAGAAUUCAUCUUUUCCACGUGCUUUAUUUACAUCCUUGACAGCAUUUUCAUAAGGAUUUUUCCAGACAGGUCACAUCUAGUAAAAGAGCUGUGGAGACAGAUAGAACUCCAAAGAGGUUAAAUAAAGCAGUUUGUUCAGGCA